GAUCCUGUGACACAGUUGGUAGAUCAUUGCACUAACAAUGCAAAGGUCCUGGGUUCAAAUCACAAACUGACA
Molecule: non-coding RNA, 72 nt
Organism: Danionella cerebrum
Lineage: Eukaryota; Metazoa; Chordata; Actinopteri; Cypriniformes; Danionidae
Source: the annotation of a GenBank genome assembly